UACGUAGGGGGCAAGCGUUGUCCGGAAUCAUUGGGCGUAAAGCGCGUGUAGGCGGCUAGGUAAGUCUGCUCUGAAAGCCCGGGGCUCAACCCCGGGAGGCGGGUGGAUACUGUCUAGCUAGAGUCCGGAAGAGGAGAGUGGAAUUCCUGGUGUAGCGGUGAAAUGCGCAGAUAUCAGGAAGAACACCCGUGGCUAAGGCGGCUCUCUAGUACGGUACUGACGCUGAGACGCGAAAGCGUGGGGAGCGAACAGG
Molecule: ribosomal RNA, 253 nt
Filed under: uncultured bacterium
Lineage: Bacteria
Description: partial 16S ribosomal RNA
Rfam family: Bacterial small subunit ribosomal RNA
Source: RNAcentral